This 253-nucleotide ribosomal RNA is filed under the name uncultured bacterium. RNAcentral describes it as "partial 16S ribosomal RNA". It matches the Rfam family "Bacterial small subunit ribosomal RNA", at positions 524 to 776 of the family's 1533-position model. The record is from RNAcentral.
GACGUAGGGCGCGAGCGUUGUUCGGAUUUACUGGGCGUAAAGGGCGCGUAGGCGGCGCAACAAGUCACUUGUGAAAUCUCCGGGCUUAACCCGGAGCGGCCAAGUGAUACUGUCGUGCUAGAGUGCGGAAGGGGCUACUGGAAUUCUCGGUGUAGCGGUGAAAUGCGUAGAUAUCGAGAGGAACACCUGCGGCGAAGGCGGGUAGCUGGGCCGACACUGACGCUGAGGCGCGAAAGCCAGGGGAGCGAACGGG